RNAcentral lists this ribosomal RNA (259 nucleotides) under uncultured prokaryote. RNAcentral describes it as "partial 16S ribosomal RNA". It matches the Rfam family "Bacterial small subunit ribosomal RNA", at positions 524 to 782 of the family's 1533-position model. The record is from RNAcentral.
UACGGAGGAUGCGAGCGUUAUCCGGAUUUAUUGGGUUUAAAGGGUGCGUAGGCGGCCAUUUAAGUCAGCGGUGAAAUUUUGCAGCUUAACUGUAACAGUGCCGUUGAUACUGUUUGGCUAGGAUUUGGUUGUAGUGUGCGGAAUGUGUGGUGUAGCGGUGAAAUGCUUAGAUAUCACACAGAACACCGAUUGCGAAGGCAGCACACUAAGUCAUUAUUGACGCUCAGGCACGAAAGUGUGGGGAUCAAACAGGAUUAGA